AUGCUUGCUUCGGCACAUGUACUAAAAUUGUAAUGAUAGAGAGAAGAUUAGCAUGGCCCCUGCACAAGGAUGACAUGCAAAUUCGUGAAGCGUUCCAUUUUUUU
Small nuclear RNA from Tympanuchus pallidicinctus (lesser prairie-chicken), 104 nucleotides. Lineage: Eukaryota; Metazoa; Chordata; Aves; Galliformes; Phasianidae. The record is from RefSeq and is a predicted model, not a curated record.